AUGGCUGGGGAGGAAGCCAAGAAGGCGGUGCCGGCUGCUGCGGCGCCGGAGGCAGUCGCGGAGAAGGAUGUGCCGGUGGUCAUCCCGCCUCCUCCGGGGGUCAAGCCACCGGCCGACGACGCCAAGGCCCUCGUCGUCGUCGACAGCAAAGCUGCCGAGAAACCUCACCCUGAGAAGAACAUCCACAGGGGCUCACAUGAAAGAGACGUCGCUCUUGCAAAGGUGGAGACGGAGAAGAUGAGCUCUUUGAUCAAAGCAUGGGUAGAGAACGAGAAGGCCAAAGCUGAGAACAAGGCUGCUAAGAAGCUAUCGUCUAUUCUUUCAUGGGAGAACACAAAGAAGGCAACCAUAGAUGCCCAACUGAAAAGGAAGGAAGAAGAGUUGGAAAAGAAGAAGGCCGAAUAUGCUGAGAAGAUGAAGAACAAAAAGGCAAUCGCCCACAGAGAAGCUGAAGAGAAGAGAGCAAUGGUAGUGGCCCGGCGUGGUGAAGAAGUUCUCAAGGCCGACGAGAUGGCAGCAAAGUACCGUGCAACCGGGCUGGCUCCCAAGAAACUUCUCGGAUGUUUCGGGGCAUAA
Molecule: ribosomal RNA, 576 nt
Filed under: Triticum aestivum (bread wheat)
Lineage: Eukaryota; Viridiplantae; Streptophyta; Magnoliopsida; Poales; Poaceae
Description: partial small subunit ribosomal RNA
Source: RNAcentral